AUCUAUGAUCACACCACGUUGAAAGCACCGCAUCCCGCCCGAUCUGCGAAGUUAAGCGAAGUAAAGUGUUAAGCAUAGAAA
Molecule: ribosomal RNA, 81 nt
Filed under: Trichinella sp. T6
Lineage: Eukaryota; Metazoa; Nematoda; Enoplea; Trichinellida; Trichinellidae
Source: RNAcentral